This 731-nucleotide long non-coding RNA is filed under the name Fukomys damarensis (Damara mole-rat). Its description in RNAcentral is "lncRNA (ENSFDAG00000022982.1)". The record is from RNAcentral. Lineage: Eukaryota; Metazoa; Chordata; Mammalia; Rodentia; Bathyergidae.
GAAAGACAGAUCUGCGAAUAGCUUGUACUGUGCAUUUUAAAAACAAUGCUGUAAGGAAAAUAGUUUUAGGUUACAUGACUAGUACUCGUGAAUAAAAGGAAAACAGGACUUACCAGUGCAGUUGAACAAACCUGGCUGUGCCUUGGGCAGUGUCAGGCGCAGCCUGGGCAGGAGGCAGAGCCACACAGGAAAGCCUUGACCGGGGCCCAUCUUCCGUCAGUCUUGACACCACCUCCUGCCCUGAUCUCCAGAUGGUGUCUCUGCUGAUGGCUCCCAGCCUGUACACAUGUGUUCAGUGACUUAACCAGUGUCUUCGCCCCACAAGCUCAAGCCCUCCUCUCCCUGCCAGCGCCUGCUCCUGCUCUUCUGACAGAAUCUGAGUGUCGUGUUUGACUCUUGCUGCUGUUGUGACCUCAAGUCCUGUGUUUUAUGUCCUAUGCACAGCUCAGGUCUGUGCCCUUGCUCCAGCCUCAUCGCCCCAUCUUCUGACUCCCAAAAGGUUGUACCAUUCACACUCCAUACCCUGCGAAUUCCUUUUGAAGAAUUCUGUUCUUUUUCCUUCUCAUUUUCUUUUCACAAAGAAUCUGGUUCCUGGAUGAGCCAGUGCCUGAGGAUUCUGAAUCUGGAGUCCCACAUACUUCUGCUCCCCUUCUGCUGCCUGAUAACAAAAGAUGCGGAUGCAGUCCUGGGGAGCGGUCACCGGAGAAGCCAGGAGAAAAACUGUCCCCGGA